UUAACGCAAAUUUGUAUGGAGUUGGAAGGUUUUUCUACGUUUGCCGCUAGGGGCGCUGUUCCAACCGUCUACAAAUUUGAUUUA
Molecule: microRNA precursor, 84 nt
Filed under: Bombyx mori (domestic silkworm)
Lineage: Eukaryota; Metazoa; Arthropoda; Insecta; Lepidoptera; Bombycidae
Description: mir-2807 microRNA precursor family
Rfam family: mir-2807 microRNA precursor family
Source: Rfam by way of RNAcentral